UGGGGAAUAUUGCACAAUGGAGGGAACUCUGAUGCAGCGACGCCGCGUGAACGAAGAAGGCUUUCGAGUCGUAAAGUUCUUUUAUAUGGGAAGAUAAUGACGGUACCAUAAGAAAAAGCACCGGCUAACUACGUGCCAGCAGCCGCGGUAAUACGUAGGGGGCUAGCGUUGUCCGGAAUCACUGGGCGUAAAGGGUUCGCAGGCGGAAAUGCAAGUCAGGUGUAAAAGGCAGUAGCUUAACUACUGUAAGCAUUUGAAACUGCAUAUCUUGAGAAGAGUAGAGGUAAGUGGAAUUUUUAGUGUAGCGGUGAAAUUCGUAGAUAUUAAAAAGAAUACCGGUGGCGAAGGCGACUUACUGGGCUCAUUCUGACGCUGAGGAACGAAAGCGUGGGUAGCAAACAGG
This 403-nucleotide ribosomal RNA is filed under the name bacterium. RNAcentral describes it as "partial 16S ribosomal RNA". It matches the Rfam family "Bacterial small subunit ribosomal RNA", at positions 355 to 776 of the family's 1533-position model. The record is from RNAcentral.